UACGUAGGGUGCGAGCGUUGUCCGGAAUUAUUGGGCGUAAAGGGCUCGUAGGCGGUUUGUCGCGUCGGGAGUGAAAACACCGGGCUUAACUCGGUGCUUGCUUUCGAUACGGGCAGACUAGAGGUAUGCAGGGGAGAACGGAAUUCCUGGUGUAGCGGUGAAAUGCGCAGAUAUCAGGAGGAACACCGGUGGCGAAAGCGGUUCUCUGGGCAUUACCUGACGCUGAGGAGCGAAAGUGUGGGGAGCGAACAGG
This 253-nucleotide ribosomal RNA is filed under the name uncultured bacterium. Its description in RNAcentral is "partial 16S ribosomal RNA". It matches the Rfam family "Bacterial small subunit ribosomal RNA", at positions 524 to 776 of the family's 1533-position model. The record is from RNAcentral.